AGAAUCAACGCUGGCGGCGCGCCUAACACAUGCAAGUCGAACGAGAAAGCCGCAAGGUGAGUAAAGUGGCGUACGGGUGAGUAACACGUGGAUAAUCUGCCCUUUAGUGGGGAAUACCGCUGGGAAACCGGCGACAAUACCGCAUAAGCUCGAGAGAGGAAAGCAGCAAUGCGCUGAAGGAGGAGUCCGCGGUCGAUUAGUUAGUUGGCAGGGUAAAGGCCUACCAAGACUGUGAUCGAUA
RNAcentral lists this ribosomal RNA (241 nucleotides) under uncultured bacterium. RNAcentral's name for it is "partial small subunit ribosomal RNA". It matches the Rfam family "Bacterial small subunit ribosomal RNA", at positions 26 to 285 of the family's 1533-position model. The record is from RNAcentral.